AAAGCGUGCGCGGGUAACGUGGCGCGCGGAUAUCGAAGCGAGGAGCGUUGAAAAGGCGGAUCAUUCUAUAUUUCCUUUCAGUCUCAGACUCUCAUCGUCGACAUCGUAUCUCGUGACGCCCAACAAUGACUAGUUACCACAUUGCCCACCGCCAAGACUACCCUCCUCCAGGGCAAGGAUCUGCCUAUCCUCCCCCUCCCCCUCCGCCGGACCCCUCCUGGCGGCCGCCUCCUUACGAAGGUUAUCCGACGCCCGUGUAUUCCGGAUACCCUCCGCCGCGGCCUCCUCAGCGUCCCCAGUAUCAAGGGUACCAGGGUUAUUUCAAUGACCAGUAUCAACAACCUCCUCAACCAUAUCCCAGUCACUAUCAUCAACACCAUGAGACCGACUGUCAUUCCGUCUUGCGAGGCUGGACUCGAGUUCCAAUUCAUAAAUUACAAUGCGAUGAUCAAGCAUUGUAAUUCAUGACAAAUUACUGUGAUAAUUAAGGCGAUGCUUCUUCCCAUUGAGUCUGAUAUUCUAAACAAGCUACGAUGGCCAGCUUGGCAGCACUCUGUUGCUGCUGUGUGCUAGAGGAGUGUUGUUUUUGAUAGUCACGUUUAUAAAAUGAUAAUGAGCCGUUUCUGCAGUUGUGUUACGGCACUCCUCUGAGAAGUGUGGGAUACCGGGAAUCCGGGAUCUGUCGUUUUUAUCGUCCUUGUUCGGUCAGUGCUGUUAUGUCUAUAGGCCAUGAUUUGGUUUGUCCAAGGGGCCUAUAUAUAUGUGUAUAUAUCAUCGCAUGCAAGCUUGAUAUGCAGUCCGAUAUCAACUUACAUGUUCAGAGGAUCUCCAUUUAGCUAAUAUGAAGCACACACGCACAGACAGAUUAUAAUAUACUAUUAUAUAUUUCACCUGUUCUUUCUCGGAA
RNA transcript from Prosopis cineraria, 907 nucleotides. It is a transcript of the gene named protein CYSTEINE-RICH TRANSMEMBRANE MODULE 7-like, with no coding region annotated. The record is from RefSeq and is a predicted model, not a curated record. NCBI's taxonomy places the organism in Eukaryota, Viridiplantae, Streptophyta, Magnoliopsida, Fabales, Fabaceae. The transcript is spliced from 4 exons.